CUCUUAUCAAGAGAGGUGGAGGGAAAGGGCCCGAUGAAACCCGGCAACCUGUUAUAUUACAAGGUGCCAAUUCCUGUAGAUUUUUUAUCUACGAGAUGAGAG
Molecule: regulatory RNA element, 102 nt
Organism: Clostridium paraputrificum
Lineage: Bacteria; Bacillati; Bacillota; Clostridia; Eubacteriales; Clostridiaceae
Rfam family: SAM riboswitch aptamer (S box leader)
About the family: The SAM riboswitch is found upstream of a number of genes which code for proteins involved in methionine or cysteine biosynthesis in Gram-positive bacteria. The SAM riboswitch acts at the level of transcription termination control.
Source: Rfam